This is a long non-coding RNA of Camellia sinensis, 835 nucleotides long. RefSeq lists it as uncharacterized. The record is from RefSeq and is a predicted model, not a curated record. Lineage: Eukaryota; Viridiplantae; Streptophyta; Magnoliopsida; Ericales; Theaceae.
UUCUCAUCGCUGUUUUCAACAUAAAACACUUCUGAAAUCACUCAAAGCAUAAAACAGUUUUCCCUUUGACAAAAACCUUCCAUGGGUGCUUUAGGGAAAUGGCUGAAAUCACUGAUUGGUCUCAAGAAGAUGCAAUCAAGGCACCAAGAAAAUGUUGGCAGUAGUGGUAAGGGUCGAAAGUGGAGGCUAUGGAGGAGUGACAAAGGAGGUCACGUGAUUGUGUCUGAUUUGUCGGGUUGAUGAUGUGUUCAGUGCAGCUGUGGCGAUUGUGGUUAGAGCUACGACCAAAGAUUUCAUGGUGGUCACGCAAGGGUGGGCUGAGAUCAGGAUCCAGACCAUGUUUCGGGCUUUUUUGGCAAGACAGGCUUUGAGGUCAUUGAAAGCAGUAGUGAGGGUACAAGCGAUUUUCCGAGGCAGGCAGGUCAGGAAGCAAGCUGCUGUAACACUAAGGCGUAUGUAAGCUCUUGUUCGAGCUCAGGCUCGUGUUAGGGCCUCUUGUGUAUCUGCACAGUAAAGGACGAACAAAGCAAUGACAAAGGGAAAAGCAUGAUUAUUAUGUAAAUACAGGUUGAGCUCAGGUUCGUAUGCAAGCUCUUGUUCCUUCCCCCACCCUAUCGAUUUCCCUCCUCUACUGUAGGACCACCCUCCAGCUUCGCCCUCCCUCCUCCCUCUCUCCACUUUGUCAUUUCCCUUUCCUCCCUCCACCCUCGUUGCCGCAGCCCUUCCAUACCCCAGUCGCUUCCCCCUUCCUCCUCCCCAGCUCUGUCGCAGCUCCCUCUCCCCUUCCCCGGCCCUGUGCAUCUCCCUCUCCCCUCCCCCACCCUGUUGCUACCCC